Molecule: ribosomal RNA, 2929 nt
Filed under: Dethiobacter sp.
Lineage: Bacteria; Bacillati; Bacillota; Dethiobacteria; Dethiobacterales; Dethiobacteraceae
Description: bacterial LSU rRNA
Rfam family: Bacterial large subunit ribosomal RNA
Source: RNAcentral
UUGGGUUAAGUUAUUAAGGGCUUACGGUGGAUGCCUAGGCGCCAGAAGACGAUGAAGGGCGUAGUGAGCUGCGAAAAGCCUCGGGGAGCCGCAAACAGGCUUAGAUCCGGGGAUUCCCGAAUGGGGCAACCUACUGCGAGUAAUGUCGUAGUAUCCAUGGCUGAAUAUAUAGGUCAUGGAAGUCAUACCCGGGGAACUGAAACAUCUUAGUACCCGGAGGAAAAGAAAGCAAACGCGAUUCCCUCAGUAGCGGCGAGCGAACGGGGAACAGCCCAAACCGUAGCGAUGUUAAAGCUUACCGGCGUUGUCGUUACGGGGUUGCGGGGCGUUUUUUAGCCGGGCGGUAGACCGGCUGGCAAGUUACAAAUCCUUUUAGUAGGCGAAAUUUCUGGAAAGUUAUACCGUAGAAGGUAAUAGUCCUGUAGCCGAAAUUAAAAGGACUUGCUUAAAGCGUUCCCAAGUAUCACGGGGCACGUGGAAUCCCGUGUGAAUCCAGGAGGACCACCUCCUAAGGCUAAAUACUAGCUGGCGACCGAUAGUGAAGCAGUACCGUGAGGGAAAGGUGAAAAGUACCCCGGAAGGGGAGUGAAAUAGUACCUGAAACCGUAAGCCUACAAGCAGUGGAAGCACUAUUUACAACAGCCUAGCUGUUGUAAAGUGUGACUGCGUACUUUUUGUAGAACGGGCCGGCGAGUUACGUUCGGUAGCAAGGUUAAGGGACAAAGUCCCGGAGCCGUAGCGAAAGCGAGUCUGAAAAGGGCGUUUAGUUACCGGACGUAGACCCGAAACCGGGUGACCUACCUAUGGCCAGGGUGAAGCUCGUUUAAACGCGAGUGGAGGCCCGAACCCACCGAUGUUGAAAAAUCGGGGGAUGAGCUGUGGGUAGAGGUGAAAUGCCAAUCGAACCCGGAUAUAGCUGGUUCUCCCCGAAAUAGCUUUAGGGCUAGCCUCAAGUAAUAAGAGCUGGGGGUAGAGCACUGAUUGGGCUAGGGGCCCUACAAGGUUACCGAAUUCAGUCAAACUCCGAAUACCAGUUCUCGUAUCUUGGGAGUCAGACUAUGGGAGAUAAGUUUCAUAGUCGAGAGGGAAACAGCCCAGAUCAUCGGCUAAGGUCCCAAAGUGCAGGCUAAGUGGGAAAGGAUGUGGAAACGCUUAGACAACCAGGAUGUUGGCUUAGAAGCAGCCACCAUUUAAAGAGUGCGUAAUAGCUCACUGGUCAAGUAUUUCUGCGCCGAAAAUGUAACGGGGCUAAAGCCUGCCACCGAAGCCAUGGCUUACUGGAAGUUGGAAGUUAGAAGUUAGAAAUUGGAGGAAUGGAUAAUGGUGAUCCAAGGCUAUAGGGAUUUAAACGUAUAUAAACGUUCCUAUCACCUGGCAUUGGAUAUUCACCGGUUAUCCUUCACACUGCCAACGAGUGAGAGAUAUGAACUAAGCAGUCAAAUACGUCGCUCAGCAGUAAGUAUUCCUCUAAAUAUAGCUGAUCGAGAAUUGGCGUAAUCAAACCUCUAAAUAAUAUCUAACUUCUAACCUCUAACCUCUAACUUCCAGUAGGGGUAGGGGAGCGUUCUGGCGGCAUCGAAGCUGUACCGUAAGGAGCAGUGGAGCUUCCAGAAGUGAGAAUGCCGGCAUGAGUAACGAUAAGGCAAGUGAGAAUCUUGCCCGCCGAAAGCCUAAGGUUUCCUGAGGAAGGUUCGUCCUCUCAGGGUAAGUCGGGACCUAAGCUGAGGCCGAAAGGCGUAAGCGAUGGACAACUGGUGGAAAUUCCAGUACCACCUUCAGCCGCUAGGAGCGAUGGGGUGACGCAGGAGGGUAGGCGCAGCGCACCGUUGGUUGUGUGCGUCUAAGCGUGUAGGGAGCAGAGAUAGGCAAAUCCGUCUCUGUGUAAUCCUGAGGCGCGAUGGGGAGCGAAAUUUUAAGUAGCGAACUGGCUGAUCCCAUACUGCCAAGAAAAACCUCUAGCCAGGCUGCAGGGUGCCCGUACCGCAAACCGACACAGGUAGGCGAGGAGAGAAUCCUAAGGCGAGCGGGAGAACCCUCGUUAAGGAACUCGGCAAAAUUACCCCGUAACUUCGGGAGAAGGGGUGCCCCGUGUAGGGUGAUUUUUGAACGGGGACGGACCUACUUGAAUAUGCCCUUAAUUCAAGUAGGGAUGAGAUAUUCAAGUAGGUCCGUCCCCGAACCGAAAUUUGCCUGAGGGGGCCGCAGUGAAUAGGCCCAAGCGACUGUUUAGCAAAAACACAGGUCUCUGCUAAGUCGUAAGACGACGUAUAGGGGCUGACGCCUGCCCGGUGCUGGAAGGUUAAGGGGAGGGGUUAGUGGGUAACCGCGAAGCUCUGAACCUAAGCCCCAGUAAACGGCGGCCGUAACUAUAACGGUCCUAAGGUAGCGAAAUUCCUUGUCGGGUAAAUUCCGACCCGCACGAAAGGCGUAACGACUUGGGCGCUGUCUCAACGAGGGACCCGGUGAAAUUGUAGUACCUGUGAAGAUGCAGGUUACCUGCGACAAGACGGAAAGACCCCGUGGAGCUUUACUGUAGCCUGAUAUUGGAUUUUGGUAUUGAAUGUACAGGAUAGGUGGGAGGCUGAGAACUCCGGGCGCUAGCCUGGAGGGAGCCAACCUUGGGAUACCACCCUUUCAAUGCUGGGAUUCUAACCAGAAACCGUUAUCCGGUUUUGGGACAGUGUCAGGUGGGCAGUUUGACUGGGGCGGUCGCCUCCCAAAGAGUAACGGAGGCGCCCAAAGGUUCCCUCAGCGCGGUCGGGAAUCGCGCGUAGAGUGUAAAGGCAUAAGGGAGCUUAACUGCGAGACCGACGGGUCGAGCAGGUGGGAAACCAGGGCUUAGUGAUCCGGCGGUGCCGAGUGGAAGGGCCGUCGCUCAACGGAUAAAAGCUACCCCGGGGAUAACAGGCUUAUCUCCCCCAAGAGUCCA